This 821-nucleotide ribosomal RNA is filed under the name uncultured bacterium. RNAcentral describes it as "bacterial SSU rRNA". It matches the Rfam family "Bacterial small subunit ribosomal RNA", at positions 627 to 1449 of the family's 1533-position model. The record is from RNAcentral.
UNUGAACUGGGUGACUAGAGUGUGUCAGAGGGAGGUAGAAUUCCACGUGUAGCAGUGAAAUGCGUAGAGAUGUGGAGGAAUACCGAUGGCGAAGGCAGCNUCCUGGGAUAACACUGACGUUCAUGCCCGAAAGCGUGGGUAGCAAACAGGAUUAGAUACCNUGGUAGUCCACGCCCUAAACGAUGUCGAUUAGCUGUUGGGCAGCAUGACUGCUUAGUAGCGAAGCUAACGCGUGAAAUCGACCGCCUGGGGAGUACGGUCGCAAGAUUAAAACUCAAAGGAAUUGACGGGGACCCGCACAAGCGGUGGAUGAUGUGGAUUAAUUCGAUGCAACGCGAAGAACCUUACCUGGUCUUGACAUGUGCGGAACCCUCCAGAGACGGAGGGGUGCCUUCGGGAGCCGUAACACAGGUGCAGCAUGGCUGUCGUCAGCUCGUGUCGUGAGAUGUUGGGUUAAGUCCCGCAACGAGCGCAACCCUUGUCAUUAGUUGCCAUCAUUAAGUUGGGCACUCUAAUGAGACUGCCGGUGACAAGCCGGAGGAAGGUGGGGAUGACGUCAAGUCCUCAUGGCCCUUAUGACCAGGGCUUCACACGUCAUACAAUGGUCGGUACAGAGGGUAGCCAAGCCGCGAGGUGGAGCCAAUCUCACAAAACCGAUCGUAGUCCGGAUUGCACUCUGCAACUCGAGUGCAUGAAGUCGGAAUCGCUAGUAAUCGCAGGUCAGCAUACUGCGGUGAAUACGUUCCCGGGUCUUGUACACACCGCCCGUCACACCAUGGGAGUGGGGGAUACCAGAAGUAGGUAGGGUAACCGCAAGGAGC